This 253-nucleotide ribosomal RNA is filed under the name uncultured bacterium. RNAcentral's name for it is "partial 16S ribosomal RNA". It matches the Rfam family "Bacterial small subunit ribosomal RNA", at positions 524 to 776 of the family's 1533-position model. The record is from RNAcentral.
CACGUAGGGGGCGAGCGUUGUCCGGAUUUAUUGGGCGUAAAGGGCUCGUAGGCGGUUUGUCACGUCGGGCGUGAAAACUCAGGGCUCAACCCUGAGCGUGCGUUCGAUACGGGCAGACUAGAGGUAUGCAGGGGAGAACGGAAUUCCUGGUGUAGCGGUGGAAUGCGCAGAUAUCAGGAGGAACACCGGUGGCGAAGGCGGUUCUCUGGGCAUUACCUGACGCUGAGGAGCGAAAGCAUGGGGAGCGAACAGG